Aegilops tauschii subsp. strangulata is the source of this 1591-nucleotide long non-coding RNA. RefSeq lists it as uncharacterized. NCBI's taxonomy places the organism in Eukaryota, Viridiplantae, Streptophyta, Magnoliopsida, Poales, Poaceae. The record is from RefSeq and is a predicted model, not a curated record.
UUGGGCCCACAAUCGGGACGGGGACGCCACACAGUGCCUCGUCUUCUUGCCUGGAUCGAUCCAUCUCAACGCCGGCCGCCGCUAAAAAAAAUAAAUUUCCAUCUCAACGCCGGCUGGACGCCGGAGUGUCCUUCCGUCUCCUCCUCCCUUGCAUUGUCCUCGCGCCACCCCACCCCAACUCACCCGUCCCCGCGCGUCACUUCGGAGUCAGUGUGCAAUGGAGGUGGCGACAGCCGGGGGCACCACGCCGCGCUCCUCCGCCUCGCUUCCGGCUCUCUCGCCGGUGGCCGCACUCCACGCCGCCGCGCUCCCCCUAGGCACGGUCCUCGAACCCUCUCUCAUCAACGCAUGCUCCGCCAGGGGCGACCCGGAUUCUUCCCGCAGCGUGUUCGACAAAUUGCCCGGCCGGGAGCAGACUGUCUCCGCACUUCCCGCGCCCGCAGGUUCUCGGCCUGUUCCGUGGCGGGGAAGGGGAGAUGGAUGACAAGGCCGCGUGCGCGAGGGCCGGGAUGGUGGGCGAAUGGAUGCAAGUGUUCGCAAGGAAGGGUGAGGAGGCCGUCGCUGCAGCGCUAUACAUGUAUGGUGGAGAUGCUGGGAAGCGCCUGGGAGGUGGAGCCCGGAGGUCGACGAGACCGAGUGCGGAUGGAGGCGCGACUGGUGCUGCUCGCCCCAUGCCGGGCGCAUGGCCGUCUCGAUGUGGCAAGGCAUGCAUUUUGGCCAAAUGAUAAUGCAGGACAAGAUAAGCCAGCCCCCUGGCUGGUGGAGCUCUGAAAUUUGUACAACAUGAUCCUUGGUUUACCUACAUGGGUCUGCCCUUCGGCAAUCUGAUUGUCCGGUUUGUCGUCGCCCCAUUACUCUGCUGGUACCUUCUGAAGUUGCUUCCGUGCUGUUUGUCUUGUUUGUCAUCGCCCCAUUACUCUGUUGACAUGGGCAAUCUGGUUGUCCGGUUUGUUGUCGCCCCAUCAAUCCUGUUAUAAUGUGUGAACUGAAUUGAAGCCUUGGUGGAGGCCUGGAGCUCUUCACAGUACAAUCGGAAUUUGGAUUACAUCACUGCUUUCCAUUAGAGCUGAGAUGGCCCCGGUGACUCUUGAGUUGCAGCAACCGCUUCAAAAUUCCAGUUCGGCAUGGAUUGCGGUUUAGAUGGCCCUGAUGGAGCGAAUUCCGAGUUAGCCAAACCGGGAAAGGAAAGCAAUGGCGGUGCACCUGUAUACAGAUGGAAGUUCCAUCUCGAACAGUGAAGUGAAAUGUCCGGUGUAUCCUCGACGAGGGUUGCGGCUUGGAUUUCGUCCCUGCUACGCCAUUGUGGGUGCUGUAUGAUUUGUUGGUGAUUUCAUGGUUUAGUUUUGUGCUCGAAAGGUGUUGGGAACUGUUGAACUACGUGUGCAUGCAUGCAAUGUUUGUGGUGUAAUAACAGUCACGUCCUAUUCGUUAUAUGGCUGUGCAUGCACCUGCGAGUGCCUCUAUUCCAUAUAUAUGUAACAACCUCCACAUGGAAUACAAUCAGUGAUUGACAUGGGGCUAGCUGGUUGCCUUUCAACUAGAACUCAAGCUCAACUGCCUAUUGUUGAAUUAUUAUUUUGUCAAUGGUCGA